This 2184-nucleotide ribosomal RNA is filed under the name Escherichia coli O157:H7 str. EC4501. RNAcentral's name for it is "bacterial LSU rRNA". It matches the Rfam family "Bacterial large subunit ribosomal RNA", at positions 643 to 2812 of the family's 2925-position model. Lineage: Bacteria; Pseudomonadati; Pseudomonadota; Gammaproteobacteria; Enterobacterales; Enterobacteriaceae. The record is from RNAcentral.
AGGUUAACCGAAUAGGGGAGCCGAAGGGAAACCGAGUCUUAACCGGGCGUUAAGUUGCAGGGUAUAGACCCGAAACCCGGUGAUCUAGCCAUGGGCAGGUUGAAGGUUGGGUAACACUAACUGGAGGACCGAACCGACUAAUGUUGAAAAAUUAGCGGAUGACUUGUGGCUGGGGGUGAAAGGCCAAUCAAACCGGGAGAUAGCUGGUUCUCCCCGAAAGCUAUUUAGGUAGCGCCUCGUGAAUUCAUCUCCGGGGGUAGAGCACUGUUUCGGCAAGGGGGUCAUCCCGACUUACCAACCCGAUGCAAACUGCGAAUACCGGAGAAUGUUAUCACGGGAGACACACGGCGGGUGCUAACGUCCGUCGUGAAGAGGGAAACAACCCAGACCGCCAGCUAAGGUCCCAAAGUCAUGGUUAAGUGGGAAACGAUGUGGGAAGGCCCAGACAGCCAGGAUGUUGGCUUAGAAGCAGCCAUCAUUUAAAGAAAGCGUAAUAGCUCACUGGUCGAGUCGGCCUGCGCGGAAGAUGUAACGGGGCUAAACCAUGCACCGAAGCUGCGGCAGCGACACUGUGUGUUGUUGGGUAGGGGAGCGUUCUGUAAGCCUGUGAAGGUGUACUGUGAGGUAUGCUGGAGGUAUCAGAAGUGCGAAUGCUGACAUAAGUAACGAUAAAGCGGGUGAAAAGCCCGCUCGCCGGAAGACCAAGGGUUCCUGUCCAACGUUAAUCGGGGCAGGGUGAGUCGACCCCUAAGGCGAGGCCGAAAGGCGUAGUCGAUGGGAAACAGGUUAAUAUUCCUGUACUUGGUGUUACUGCGAAGGGGGGACGGAGAAGGCUAUGUUGGCCGGGCGACGGUUGUCCCGGUUUAAGCGUGUAGGCUGGUUUUCCAGGCAAAUCCGGAAAAUCAAGGCUGAGGCGUGAUGACGAGGCACUACGGUGCUGAAGCAACAAAUGCCCUGCUUCCAGGAAAAGCCUCUAAGCAUCAGGUAACAUCAAAUCGUACCCCAAACCGACACAGGUGGUCAGGUAGAGAAUACCAAGGCGCUUGAGAGAACUCGGGUGAAGGAACUAGGCAAAAUGGUGCCGUAACUUCGGGAGAAGGCACGCUGAUAUGUAGGUGAAGUCCCUCGCGGAUGGAGCUGAAAUCAGUCGAAGAUACCAGCUGGCUGCAACUGUUUAUUAAAAACACAGCACUGUGCAAACACGAAAGUGGACGUAUACGGUGUGACGCCUGCCCGGUGCCGGAAGGUUAAUUGAUGGGGUCAGCGCAAGCGAAGCUCUUGAUCGAAGCCCCGGUAAACGGCGGCCGUAACUAUAACGGUCCUAAGGUAGCGAAAUUCCUUGUCGGGUAAGUUCCGACCUGCACGAAUGGCGUAAUGAUGGCCAGGCUGUCUCCACCCGAGACUCAGUGAAAUUGAACUCCGCUGUGAAGAUGCAGUGUACCCGCGGCAAGACGGAAAGACCCCGUGAACCUUUACUAUAGCUUGACACUGAACAUUGAGCCUUGAUGUGUAGGAUAGGUGGGAGGCUUUGAAGUGUGGACGCCAGUCUGCAUGGAGCCGACCUUGAAAUACCACCCUUUAAUGUUUGAUGUUCUAACGUGGACCCGUGAUCCGGGUUGCGGACAGUGUCUGGUGGGUAGUUUGACUGGGGCGGUCUCCUCCUAAAGAGUAACGGAGGAGCACGAAGGUUGGCUAAUCCUGGUCGGACAUCAGGAGGUUAGUGCAAUGGCAUAAGCCAGCUUGACUGCGAGCGUGACGGCGCGAGCAGGUGCGAAAGCAGGUCAUAGUGAUCCGGUGGUUCUGAAUGGAAGGGCCAUCGCUCAACGGAUAAAAGGUACUCCGGGGAUAACAGGCUGAUACCGCCCAAGAGUUCAUAUCGACGGCGGUGUUUGGCACCUCGAUGUCGGCUCAUCACAUCCUGGGGCUGAAGUAGGUCCCAAGGGUAUGGCUGUUCGCCAUUUAAAGUGGUACGCGAGCUGGGUUUAGAACGUCGUGAGACAGUUCGGUCCCUAUCUGCCGUGGGCGCUGGAGAACUGAGGGGGGCUGCUCCUAGUACGAGAGGACCGGAGUGGACGCAUCACUGGUGUUCGGGUUGUCAUGCCAAUGGCACUGCCCGGUAGCUAAAUGCGGAAGAGAUAAGUGCUGAAAGCAUCUAAGCACGAAACUUGCCCCGAGAUGAGUUCU